This 151-nucleotide small nuclear RNA is filed under the name Octodon degus (degu). Its description in RNAcentral is "U1 spliceosomal RNA (ENSODEG00000021599.1)". It matches the Rfam family "U1 spliceosomal RNA". Rfam says of the family: U1 is a small nuclear RNA (snRNA) component of the spliceosome (involved in pre-mRNA splicing). Its 5' end forms complementary base pairs with the 5' splice junction, thus defining the 5' donor site of an intron. There are significant differences in sequence and secondary structure between metazoan and yeast U1 snRNAs, the latter being much longer (568 nucleotides as compared to 164 nucleotides in human). Lineage: Eukaryota; Metazoa; Chordata; Mammalia; Rodentia; Octodontidae. The record is from RNAcentral.
UUAUUUAUUGAGUGCUGGUUAAAAUUUUUGUUCUCCCCAGGGUGAGGGUUACUGGUUGCACUGCAAAUGAGCUGACCUCUGCAAUUUCUUCAAACGUGGGAAACUCGACUACAUAAUCUGUGGUGGUGGGAGAUAUGUUUACUCUUUCCCC